GGGAGUGUCAAGCAGGGCUGCAAUCANCCUUCUNCUUACGCAUACACUUGACCAUGGCGCAUCAUGCCAAUUAGCCGAACCUUGUCCUCCGUAUAGUACACGCUCUGGUUUUGGCAGACGCGAGGACUAGGUAAUGAUUAAUAUGGGAAUAUCGUUGGGGGCAUUAAUAUUAAUUGUCANAGGUGAAAUUCUUGGAUUUAUGAAAGAUUAACUUCUGCGAAAGCAUCUGCCAAGGAUGUUUUCAUUAAUCAAGAACGAAAGUUAGGGGAUCGAAGACGAUCAGAUACCGUCGUAGUCUUAACCAUAAACGAUGCCGACCAGCGAUUAGGAGACGUUGAAUACAUNAACACCACCAUCGGCGCGGUCGUCCUUGGCUGGUCGUCCCUCAACGGGGCGGCGGCGNGGGCGGUUAACCCGCAUG
Molecule: ribosomal RNA, 421 nt
Filed under: Acanthamoeba sp. ID3
Lineage: Eukaryota; Discosea; Longamoebia; Acanthamoebidae
Description: bacterial SSU rRNA
Rfam family: Eukaryotic small subunit ribosomal RNA
Source: RNAcentral